RNAcentral lists this long non-coding RNA (38083 nucleotides) under Zea mays. Its description in RNAcentral is "long non-coding RNA (ZMAY_LNC002372)". Lineage: Eukaryota; Viridiplantae; Streptophyta; Magnoliopsida; Poales; Poaceae. The record is from RNAcentral.
UGGGCCAAUCAAGGAGGAGGUGUACGUGGAGCAACCCCCUGGCUUCGAGGAUGAACGGUACCCCGACCACGUGUGUAAGCUCUCUAAGGUGCUCUAUGGACUUAAGCAAGCCCCAAGAGCAUGGUAUGAAUGCCUUAGAGACUUUUUAAUUGCUAAUGAUUUCAAGGUUGGGAAAGUCGAUCCAACGUUAUUCACUAAGACUUGUGAUGGUGAUCUUUUUGUGUGCCAAAUUUAUGUCGAUGACAUAAUAUUUGGUUCUACUAACCAAAAGUCUUGUGAAGAGUUUAGCAGGGUGAUGACUCAAAAAUUUGAGAUGUCGAUGAUGGGCGAGUUAAGCUAUUUCCUUGGGUUCCAACUGAAGCAACUCAAGGAUGGAACCUUCAUCUCCCAAACGAAGUACACGCAAGACUUGAUCAAGCGGUUUGGGAUGAAGGACACCAAGCCCGCAAAGACUCCAAUGGGAACCGACAGACACACCGACCUCAACAAAGGAGGUAAGUCCGUUGAUCAAAAGGCAUACCGGUCUAUGAUAGGGUCCUUACUUUAUUUAUGUGCUAGUAGACCGGAUAUUAUGCUUAGCGUAUGCAUGUGUGCUAGAUUUCAAUCCGAUCCAAGGGAGUGUCACUUAGUGGCCGUGAAGCGAAUUCUUAGAUAUUUAGUCGCUACGCCUUGCUUCGGGAUCUGGUAUCCAAAGGGGUCUACCUUUGACUUGAUUGGAUAUUCAGACUCCGAUUAUGCUGGAUGUAAGGUCGAUAGGAAGAGUACAUCAGGGACGUGCCAAUUCUUAGGAAGGUCCCUGGUGUCAUGGAGUUCUAAGAAACAAACUUUCGUUGCCCUAUCCACCGCUGAGGCCGAGUAUGUUGCCGCAGGACAGUGUUGCGCGCAACUACUUUGGAUGAGGCAAACCCUUAGGGACUUUGGCUACAAUCUGAGCAAAGUCCCACUCCUAUGUGAUAAUGAGAGUGCUAUCCGCAUGGCGGAUAAUCCUGUUGAACACAGUCGCACAAAGCACAUAGACAUCCGGCAUCACUUUUUGAGAGACCACCAGCAAAAGGGAGAUAUCAAAGUGUUUCAUGUUAGCACCGAGAACCAGCUAGCCGAUAUCUUUACCAAGCCUCUAGAUGAGUCGACCUUUUGCAAACUGUGUAGUGAGCUAAAUGUCUUAGAUUCGCGGAACCUGGAUUGAUUUAUAGCAUACAUGUGUUUUAUGCCUUGAUCAUGUUCCUUAAUGCACUUUGUUGUUUAUUUAUGGUGCUCAAGUUGUACAAGCAUUCCCCGGACCUCACAAGUCCAUUUGCAAGUGAUGCACAUAUUUAGGGGGAGAUGUGCUACAACUUGACCCUUUGAGACUAACUGUGUGCUUGAGCUUGCUUAAUUUAGUCUCAAAGGAGGUUUGAAAGGGAAAAGGUGGACUUGGACCAUGCAAGACUUCCACUGCACUCCGAUGAAAGAGUAACUGAUUCCAAGUUCAUCUUUGUACUCUUAUUUCCUUUUUACUCUUAGUUGAAGAUUUUGGUGAGGCAAUGGGGUUAAAGGGCCAAAAUUGAUCCCGUUUUGAUGCUUGAUGCCAAAGGGGGAGAAAAUAAGGCCAAAGCAACAAAUGGAUCAGCUACCCACUUGAGAAUUUUGAAAAUAGUAGAAUAGAGCUUUUGGUUUGUCAAAAGCUCUCUUAUUGUCUUUUUUGUCAAAAGUUGGCCUCUUGUGGGGAGAAUGGCCGAUUAUGGGAAAAAGGGUAGAAUAGAGCUUUUGGUUUGUCAAAAGCUCUCUUAUUGUCUCUUUUGUCAAAAGUUGGCCUCUUGUGGGGAGAAUGGUCGAUUAUGGGAAAAAGGGUAGAAUAGAGCUUUUGGUUUGUCAAAAGCUCUCUUAUUGUCUCUUUUGUCAAAAGUUGGCCUCUUGUGGGGAGAAUGGUCGAUUAUGGGAAAAAGGGGGAGUUUUUGAAAUCUUUGAUCAGUUUCUCUUGGAACAACUCUCUUUAUGUCUCAACAAGUGUGUUUGACUUAGAGAUAGGAAAUUGAAUUUGAUUUGCAAAAACAAACCAAGUUGUGGCAAAGAAUGAUCCAUAUAUGCCAAAUUUGAAUCAAAACAAUUUUGAGUACUCAUUUGUAUUGAUGUUGCACUUCCUUUAGUUGCUUUUUAUUGUGUUGGCAUAAAUGACCAAAAAGGGGGAGAUUGAAAGGAAAUGUGCCCUUGGGCCAUUUCUAAGUAUUUUGGUGAUUGAGUGCCAACACAAGUGGACUUAUGUUAAUCUAUGCAAAGUGAUGGAUAAAGUGCAAAUCAAGUAAAAAGGUGUGUUUCUAAGACUUAGUACAUUGUUUUGGAGACUAAUGUAUUGUGUCUAAGUGCUGGAAACAGGAGAAAUCAAGUUGGAAAAGAGAUGGCUUUGUUCAGCCAAAGACUGCUCGUUCUAGGUGCACCGGACAGUGUCUGGUGCGCCAGGCCAGCGUCUAUCAACUGGCUGCUCUCGGGAAGCAAUUAACGGCGUACGGCUAUAAAUCACCGGACUGUCCGGUGGUGCACCGGACUGUCCGGUGAGCCAACAGUCGGCCGGGCCAACGGUCGGCCGUAUAAUCCGCGCGCGACGCGUGGCAAGAGCCAACGGUCAGAAGGGGCACCGAACUGUCCGGUGUGCACCGGACAGUGUCCGGUGCGCCAACGGCUCCAAAGUGCCAACAGUCGGCUUCGCCAAAGAAGGAAAGAAAUCCGCACCGGACAGUGUCCGGUGGUGCACCGGACUGUCCGGUGCGCCAGGCGACAGAAGGCAAGAAUUGCCUUCCUGGAAUGCUCUCAACGGCUCCUAGAUGCCUUGGGGCUAUAAAAGGGACCCCUAGGCGCAUGGAGGAGAUCAUCAAGCAUUCUCUAAGCAUUCCUAAGCACCAAGACUUCAAUUCCGCGCAUUCGAUUCUUUGUGAUAGCAACUAGAGCUCCAUUUGAGUAGAGAACUUUUUGAGUUGUGUUGAGAGCUCGUGUUGUGACUUGUGUGCGUAUUGUCGCUCUGAUUUUGUGUCUUGUGUGCGUUGCUCAUCCCUCCCUUACUUCGUGCUUCUUUGUGAACAUCAAAGUGUAAGGGCGAGAGGCUCCAAGUUGUGGAGAUUCCUCGCAAGCGGGAUAUAGUAAAAAGCAAAACACCAUGGUAUUCAAGUGGGUCUUUGGACCGCCUGAAAGGGGUUGAUUGCAACCCUCGUCUGUUGGGACGCCACAACGUGGAGUAGGCAAGUGUUGGACUUGGCCGAACCACGGGAUAAACCACUGUGUCUAUCUGUGUUGAUCUUCUUGUGAUUAUCGUGUCUUGCAAGAACUCUUCUCUAGCCACUUGGCUUUAUUGUGCUAACUCCUAAUCAAGUUUUGUGGCAUUAAAGAUCAAAGUUUUACAGGAUCACCUAUUCACCCCCCCCCCUCUAGGUGCUCUCAACAGCCCAGACGCACGAAUCAUGGCGACAGCGCAAAUCACGGUGCGAAGGUCACCGGCGGCGAGGGGGGAUGAAUCCGGGAUCUGAUUCAGCUACUGUACCAUGGGAUGUUUCUGCAGACAGCCUGACAGCCCAAGUUUGGCAUCGAUUUUCUCCUGAUUUUUCAUGGCAACAUGUUGAUCGACCAAUAGCAAAGUUGUUGUCUAAUAAUACAUCUACAACCUUGCUAUAACAACCAUAGCCAAACUCUCACCAGAUCUGGGUUGAAUUCCAGUCCAAAGAUUACUCAAUCACACUGUCAGUCUGAGUUCAGACUUAAGACAGCCUGACAGAUCAACUUUGAGUCCAAUUUUCUCAAAACUUUUCAUAGUACCAAGACUUGCUCUCUAUAGCAAAAUUGUUCCCCUUUUGUAGCUCUACAAACUUGAUAUGGUGAUCUAGGGCAAAAAGUUUAUAACUUGGAAGAUAUAGGGUCCCGAAGUUGAGCCAAUCCCACUAAAAUUCAGACUUAUCCAAUAGAGUUCAAAUAGGACUUUUUGCAAAUAAGUCCAAAUCUCAAGGUUUAACUUGCAAAUCCACAUACUUGCGAACCAUAUGACUUAAGGUGCCUUAAUUUCAUGGUUUUUGCACUUUAGUCCAAAAUGGCACUAGUUUUGCACUUAGCCCCCUAGGGUUUAAGUCUAGGGCUUUCUAGGGUUCUUUUUAGGGUUUUUAACACUUCUAGGGUUUGGAUGUUACUUAGGUCCAUUCCUAGUGACAUUUUAUGACUAUUUCAAUUGAGUUUUAAAGUUUUCCCUUAUUAAGCCUUGCUUACUCUAUUAAGCCCAAACUAGGGUUAAGUAUCCUACUCUAGGGUUUUACCCAUAAAAUGUCAUAGCAAUACAACUUGUUUGAAAUUUUUGCCUAGUGAAUGCACUCUAGGUGUGACAAACACAUGACAUGCCAAUGCUUAUGGUGUUAUGCUCAAAUUUUAGUAAUAGUAACACCAGGGGUGUUACAUCCUUCCCCCCAUAAAAGAAUCUCGUCCCGAGAUUAAAAGUCCUAGGGCAAGUAAUGGAAAAGGAAACACGACAUAUCUUUAUUUCCUUAUUUUUGGUACAAGGCAGGGGUGGUUUGGGGUUUAUUCCUCUUAUUACAACAAAUGUGCAUACUUUACAAAUUACAUGAGGCUAAAAAGCCCGGAAAAUUCUUUUCUAAAAAGUCUUGAGCUUCCCAAGUAGCCUCAUCUUUUGUAUGUUGGUUCCACUGUAUCUUGUAAAACUUGAGAGUUUUUCUUCGGGAAUCCUGUCCUUUUGAUCCAAGACUCGAAUAGGAUGCUCUGAAUAUGUCAAGUCUGGUUCUAAGGCAACAUCCGUUACUUCAAUGGUUUGAUCGGGAACCCGAAGACACUUCUUCAAUUGAGACACGUGGAACACAUUAUGUACUGCAGAUAAGGUUUCGGGUAACUGGAGUCGGUAUGCCACUGGUCCACAUUGUUCAAGAACAGGAAAAGGACCAAUAUAUAGGGGUGCAAGCUUCCCUUUUACCCUGAAAUGUGAUACACCUUUCAUUGGUGAAACUUUCAAGUAGACAUAAUCUCCAACUAGAAAGUACAGGGGUAUCCGUCGUUUGUCUGCGUAACUCUUCUGAUGAGCUUGAGCUUCUUUUAAAUUAUGAAUUAUUCGUUGUACUCUCUCUUUUGUUUCCUUUACCAUAUCAGGCCUGAAGAAAUUUCUUUCACCUGGUUCAGACCAGUUUAACGGAGUACGACACUGUUGUCCAUAUAAGGCUUCAAAGGGUGCCAUUUUGAUGCUUUCUUGAUAGCUAUUAUUGUAUGAGAACUCCGCUAAUGGUAAACAAUCAUCCCAUUUCUAUGGGAAUUCCAGAACACAUGCUCGUAACAUAUCUUCAAGUAUUUGAUUUACUCUUUCAGUUUGCCCACUGGUUUGAGGAUGAUAGGCCAAACUGUGGAGCAAUUUAGUACCCAAGGAUUUGUGAAGUUCUUCCCAGAAUUUGGAUACAAAUUGAGGUCCACGAUCUGACACUAUUGUCUUCGGAACACCGUGCAAACUGAGGAUGCGAGCAAUGUACAGUUUCACAUAUGUAAGGACCGGGUAAUAUGUCUUGACUGGCAGAAAAUGAGCAAUUUUUGUAAGCUGGUCAAUUAUAACCCAAAUAGAAUCAUACCCUUUUGCGGUCCUGGGCAAUCCCACAAUAAAGUCCAUACUAAUAUCCUCCCAUUUCCAUGUUGGUAUAGGUAGAGAUUGUAAUGGACCAGCAGCUUUCAUGUGUAUGGCCUUGACACGUCUACAAGUGUCACAUCUUGGCACAUAGCAUGUGAUUUCAAUCUUCAUCUUUGUCCACCAAUAAUGCUGUUUUAGAUCAUGAUACAUCUUAGUGCUUCCGGGAUGAAUAGAAUAGCGACUAAGAUGUGCUUCAUUUAGAAUUUGCUGGCAGAUCUCAUCAUUUUUAGGCACAACUAUGCGGUUGUUGAACCAUACAACACCUUGAUCAUCUCUUCUGAAGCAGAUAGCUUUACCAACCUCUAUUUUCUCAUGAAUGUGUUUCAUUCCCUCACCAUUUCUUUGUUCGUCAGUUAUUCUUUGCAGGAUGACUGACUCAAUCUUCAAGUGAUUUGAAGUUCCAUGCUGAAUCAUUCCCAGGUUCAACUUUUCCAUUUCUUGGCAUAACAUAAUGUCAGAAGUCUUCAUGGUAAGACAAUGGCAGAAAGCCUUACGACUUAACGCAUCUGCCACUACAUUAGCUUUGCCUGGGUGAUAGUGAAUCUCUAAUUCAUAAUCCUUUAUCAGCUCGAGCCAUCUCCUUUGUCUCAUAUUAAGAUCUGACUGGGUAAAGAUGUACUUCAAACUUUUGUGGUCUGUAUAAUUGUGACAGACAUUCCCCAGCAGAUAAUGACGCCAUAUUUUUAGGGCAUGAACCACCGCAGCUAACUCCAGGUCAUGAGUUGGAUAAUGUUCCUCAUGCCGGCGCAACUGCCUUGAAGCAUAAGCUAUUACUCGGCCCUCUUGCAUUAGAACACAGCCGAGACCACUGCCUGAUGCGUCACAAUACACAUCAAAGGGCUUUUCAAUGUCCGGUUGAGCCAAUACCGGAGCAGUGGUUAAUAACACUUUUAGCUGCUCAAAGGCUUCAUUACAUUUUGAAGACCAAUUGAAUUUGGUAUCAUUCUUCAAUAAACCUGUGAUUGGUUUCACAAGCUUGGAAAAAUCUGGUAUGAAUCGGCGGUAAUAACUAGCCAGUCCAAGGAAACUUCGGACUUGAUGUACAGUGGUUAGGGAUUUCCACUCCAAAAUAUCCUUGACUUUGCUGGGAUCCACCGCAAUCCCCUUGGCAGAUAAUACAUGUCCCAGAAAUUGGAUCUCCUCCAGCCAGAAUGCGCACUUACUGAACUUAGCAUAUAACUGGUGUUCCCUUAAGCGCGUUAAUAUGAUCCGCAAAUGUCGAGCAUGCCCCUCUUCAUUCUUGGAGUAUAUUAAGAUAUCGUCAAUGAAUACCACCACAAAUUUGUCCAACUCGGGCAUAAAUACUGAGUUCAUCAGAUAUGUGAAGUGGGCAGGAGCAUUUGUCAGUCCGAAAGACAUAACCAGAUAUUCAAAUAAUCCAUAUUGCGUGGUGAAUGCGGUCUUUGGUAUAUCUUUGGGUCGGAUACGGAUCUGAUGAUAACCCGACCUGAGGUGAAUCUUGGAGAAUACCUGAGCUCCGAUAAGUUGAUCAAAUAGAAUGUUAAUCUGGGGAAGAGGGUACUUAUUCUUGAUGGUGACCUCAUUAAGGGGUCUAUAAUCCACGCACAUCCGUAAUGUUUGGUCCUUUUUCUUGACAAAGAUGGCUGGACAUCCCCAAGGUGAUGAACUUGGUCAGAUGAAUCCUUUUUCAAGUAGAUCUUGUAAUUGGGUCUUGAGUUCUGCCAGUUCAUUUGGAGGCAUUCGGUACGACCUUCUAGAAAUAGGAGCCGUACCGGGCUUCAACUCAAUCACAAAUUCUACAUCUCUUUCUGGAGGCAAUCCAGGCAGAUCUUCUGGGAAGACGUCUGGAAACUCACAUACUACCGGAAUAUCUUGGAUCUCCAGUAUGAUGGCUUCAUAUACUCUGCCAGUUGGUUUAACUGGAAUGGCUACGGGGAUGGACAAAAGAACCUCUUCUUGGCCAUAACUCAACCUGAUGGUUCUCAUAUCAGUGUUGAGGAUUGCUUUAUGCUAGGCUAACCAAUUCAUGCCCAAAAUUACAUCUAUGUCUUGGCCUUUUAGAACAAUCAUGUUUGUAGGAAAGUCCCAUUCAGCCAAUGUUACGGGCAAAUGGUAAGCCACCUCUUUAGUAAAUAUUUGUCCCCCAGGCGAAUGAAUUACAAACCCUUCCCUUGAUUCAUGGUAUGGAAUGCAAUGUUGCUCCACAAACUUUUUGCUUAUGAAUGUAUGUGAAGCGCCAGAAUCAAAAAGGAUAACGGCAGGGUGAUUGGCCACGAGAAACGUACCCAUCAUAACCGGUUCGCCUUCCGGUAUUGUGGCCACUUGAGUAUAAUAAAUCCGUCCCGUUUUCCUCAUAUUUUUGCACGCGGUAUUGUUUGCCGCAUUUCCCUUGACUUGAGCAGAACUCCCGGAACUCUGCUGAUUAUUUGAUCGAUUCUGCUUCGGGUAUGGACAGUCCUUGAUAAAAUGUCCGGACUUUCCACAAUUAAAGCAGCCUGUUGAAGAGCUUGGGAGAGCGGGGAAACGAGUACCAGGGCACCCGACCGAUUUGUGGCGGUGGGGGCAUUGGUAGGACAAAUAAAAAUCGGUUGUUUGAAAGGGUGGGAGGGUGGGCGCGAUGAAGAAUGAUUCUAGUUAAAAGGUCGGAUUACCAACCUUUGUCUUUUCUCAGGCCCCUCAUUGGGCAUGUCGCCUCCAUUGCCCUUUGAUUUUCCAGAGCCUGCAUAUUUGGCUUCAACUGCCAGUGUCGUGCUGACAGCCCUUCCGUAAGAAAGAUCAAUGCAGGUGGCCAUCUUUCGUUGCAUUCGAUCAUUAAGGCCUCUCAUGAAGCAAUUUCUCUUCUUUAAAUCCAUGUUGACUUGAUCGAUAGCAUAUUGGGAUAAGUGGUUGAAUUUGUUGAGAUACUGAGUGACAGUAUCCCCACCCUAUUUGAGCUUCAUAAACUCCUCCUGCUUCAUAUGGAGCACCCCUUCAGGUAUAUAGUGCUCCCGGAAAAUCAAUUUGAACUCGUCCCAUGUAAUUUGAUGGCCGACCGGCUGAACGGCUACAUAAUUUCCCCACCAUGUGCUGGCAGGGCCUCGCAACUGUUGUGCCGCAAAUAAGGGCUUUUGAGUCUCUGUACAUCGGAGAAGCCCGAACUUCUGUUUGAUAACGCGGAUCCACUCAUCCGCUUCCAGAGGAUCUUCUGCCUUGACAAACAAUGGGGGACGUGUCUCUGAGAAAUCCAGAUAUGAUGUUUCACGGGGUCCUUGCGGAUACGCUCGCCCGCCUUGCUGCUACAUUUGUUGUCCCACCAUUUCCCGUAGAAAGCGAGUGUUGUCAACUGUGGCAUUAACUAAGGCAGUGAUGGCCUCAGCUAAUGUUGGAGGUACUGGGGGUGGAUUAGGGGUUGCUUCCCUCCCACGGGAGGUUCCUGCCCCAUCCUGUGCGCGAGUCCUGGAUGGCAUCUGAGGCAAAGAACAUUUGGAGAAAUAUAAUAUGCCAAAGUAAACCAUCCAUUUUACAUUACUUUAAAAGGGUAAUGUUAUAGACUCAAAUUUACAACAGGAUUACAUUACCUAUUACACAUUAUCACUACUUCUAUACUACACUAUUCUAGCUUCUUGUUACUUUUGGUAGCCUCGCUGUCAGGCAUAGGAGACCAUUUGUCGACCAAAUUCAUUGAAGGAGGGGGCCUGAAAAGAUCCAGUUCCCCUCCAAGGGCUUCACCCGCUGCUCCAGAUGGUCUGGCUCCCAUCCCGACAGGAUCCGCAGGUACGUUAGGGUGCAGUUGUGAAUACAAUACAUGAACUUCUUCAUGUAGUGUAUUAUAAUAAACCUGCAAGUUGUCCACGGCUGAGCUAAGCUCUUCCAUGCGGGCUCGAGCUCUAGCUUCCUUUGCCCAAGCAAGUGAACGAGAAUUAACCGCCCAAUCGAGCGCUAGAUCCCGUUCAGCAAGUUGGUCUUGCAGGUGGCGGAUGUCUGUUCUCAAUUGGUUUAUUCUUUCACCAUCCGCGGCCCAUAUAUCGUUCUUGUGACUGAGUUCUGAUCGAAGUUGUUCAACUUGGGCUUCCAGAUCCCCGAUUGGAUCAUUGCUACCACUGCUACUGUCUUCAUGCCGUGGGACUAGUUGAUGGCGGGGUACGCCAAUCGGCCCGGUAGACUUGCGCGCGGUCUUUCUCGUGCGCGGCGGCAUAUCUCCAUGAGGGGGGAAAUCUUAUUAGCAUAGUUUUUAGCAUGAUGCAUGUAUAAUUACAGAAUCAACCUUAGUUGAUUCACACCUUCUUACAUUGCACUCUACUAUCUGGUCUUUAAAAUAAGCACCUCAGGAGGAGAUUGUAUAAGAAGGAAAGAAAUUUUCUAGAUAAGUCUUUGAAAAUUCUUUUUGAAAAUGUCUCAUAAUAUCUGCGAAGAUGGGCUUCGCCCUGAUACCAGCUGUGACGGAACCUCCCAAGUCAUUAGGCCCACCUACAGUUGUCCUUGUCCAACGGACUUCAGACAACCCUGUAGGUGCACCUGAUCACUUGAUAAGUUCAGUAUCUGAAUUCUUUACCUUUCCCAAGAGCAUUUCACCCGUCACGCAGACAUUACAAUACAUCGGAGAUACGAAAGUGCGGAAACAGUUACAAUAACUUACUUUAUUGAAAAGUAAGAUAGAGUCAUAUAGUUACAGACCAGAACCAAAAUAUAUGAGUGCUGAGUAUUAUUAUUACAAAACAUGGGAGGCAAAAACCCCUCCCAAAUAAACAGUAAAAGUUUUUCUUAAUGGAGGACCUUUCCUCCCGCAGCUUUAGUCUUGAUUCUCUUCUUUCGGUACCACCUUGGAACAGAAGCAACAAAAGUUUGUUGCUUCUUCACCAAAAACAACAUGGGACAAAGCCCUGAGUACGAAGUGUACUUUUGCAAGACUUACCCGACAAAGUAAAAGACUCUCAAGGAUAUGCUGGCUUUAAGGGAGUCAAGGUAAGGCUUAUCAAUAAUCAAUGACUUUGUUUGCAGAAAUGCUUACUAAUAGUGGAUCCUUAAAAAUCCAGUUUUUUUGUCAAGUUAAGUAAAAUUACCUGCAACUAGAGUUCUUUCUACCCUAGUUCAAUCACUUGACCAAUACUAGCCAAUUUCUUAACAACCCUUCUUAUUCACUGGAAUGCUACGUGUAGGUCAGUGACCAAGUCUUCAUGUCCGCGAAGUUAUGGCGAUCCGAAUCAAUUAUACUCAGAUGAGGAUCUCCAAUCACACGACAUAUGUAGCACUUAACCCUUGCAUAUGUCAACUCGCCACCGGGGUUCUUAAGACCAGAUCAGGUUCAUGCCAACCGAGAGCACAGAUACACCACCGUCCAGCCUCUUCCACGGAGGGUACAUGCUACUCUCGCCAUCUCUCCACUCCCAUUGUGUGUUAUCUUAUCUGGUAUUAGUCUGCCCGAGGCAAAGCUUACCCAUGACGAGGCAUGUGCCAGUUAAAGGGUCCUCGAUCAUCAAGCCUACAUCGACACGGUCCUUAAUCGACUCAGACGGAAACACUACACCGAGACUCUCUUCUCGUGCAAGUCACCCGCCCGGUCUCAGCUUAAUCAUUUCAAACCCAAAGUUUGGUACCUGUCAGAGGUACAUCUUUUCCGAUGUUGAACCCAGCAUGGCCAUGAUGGAUCCACCAUCAAGUUUUAUUUUCGAAAACAUCCCUCCCACUUGUAGCAUCAUCUUUUGUGAAAACAAAACAUUUUGUUUUUCUAGAGCAAAGCUAAGCAUAAGAAAAACCUUUUGUAAAACAGGGAUUUAAGGAGAAGUAAUCCAUUCCAAGGAAGGAAAUGCAGGAAUUGGUUUAGCACACAACUCCUAUUACCUAAUGCAUCAAGUAAGUGAGAAAGAUUUUAAAAGGAACAAGGAGGUGGCAAAUGCACCGGGGCUUGCCUUGUGUUACUGGUGAAUCAGGCUCUGUUCCACAGAUAUCAAAAUAAAAACAGUUGCCUGCCUUAUGUUCUUCAGGUGGUGGUGCUGAUGAAGUCCUUGUCUCUUCAACCUCUACUUCCUCCUCGUUUUCUAAAUAUAGCCAAGUAUAAUAAUGAAUGCUCAUGUAAUGCCCAUGAAGAUGCAAAGAUAAUAAAAGUUUAUUAUCUAAGGUCUUGAAUACAACUUUCCUUCACGGAUCUCCGAGAACCUAGGGUUUUCGGAGUCAAUAGUGAAGUUCAUAGGGCAGGGGCUAGGGUUUUGGGUUCUAAGUAUCAAACUUGGUCCAUAUCAUACCAAACUUUACCCCAAGCCUCUAAAUAUUAUUUAGAGUUUUCCCUAAAAGUUUAGUGAAUUUUGGAUUUAUUAUUUAUUCCCUAAAAAUCCAGAAGCAUGGUUUUUGGCUAUUUUAAAUGCUCUAUAAUUUCCUAUUUGGACUAAAAAUCAUGAAACUAUUUUUAUUAAAUACUAUAGGAAAUUAGAAGCCUUGAAAAAUUGGUCUUACAUUUUUAGCAUUUUUCUACAAUUUUAUAGAAUUUCUUUAGCUCUGGCAGAAAAGGAAAAAGAAAAGACAUGAACAGUGUUGGACCGAAACCGGCCCAAGUCAGCCCAACAUAGGCAGAAGCGCGCCCGCGCGCGCCCGCGUGCAAACUUUGCAAGAAAGACCAUGUUGUUUUAAAUAACCCAAACUGAGUUCAACGCACUAUUUCUAUGAGUCGCUGACAGUUACGGUUAGACCCCUGAACUUCUAAUUCUUCACAGCGCCAAGUCCACGAUGUCGCACAGCGGAUAUCCGAGCACCGGUGAGUCUAGACUGGCAAGAUCAUGCAAAGACCGGCGCUCCCGAGCGGCAGACACCAAAUCGGAUCCCUCCUAACCAUUUCCCCUCACUCAAUUUCACUAAUUAGACUCUAAAUCAUCUUGUCCACGGAGGCAGUGCGGACAGUCAAAGGAACUAACGUGUUCCCGGCGAUCCAGGGCAGCCUAACCCAGUUGCAUUGGUCGAGGAGCUUCAGGAGGACUUAAGGAUGUUAGAACAAGAGAGCAGGGAGUACGAACGGACAUGGAACACGCUGACCAUGGUGAGGGCUCUUUUACUGUGGCGGAGAACGGAUUUUGGGGGGAAUGAGAAAUUCGUGAGCUUUGGUGAUCGAUUGAGGGCAUGGUUUGGUGACUUGGUGCUUGACUACCCUACGGAGCUCACGGCAGGCUCAAUUUAUAGCAGGCAAGAGCGAAGGCCGGUGAAUUUGGAUUGAGACGCGCGGCGGCCGGAGAUAACAGGGGUUACUGGCGCAGUGGAUUCGUGGAGUAUACCGUGGCGGACUCACCGGUGAUGAUCGGAUGGCUAACGUGAGUCAUGGUGGUGCGGUUAAAGGCUGGAGGCGUGGCACAACUACGGUGAGCAUCACUGAUUCCGGUGACGGCCGUAAGGCCACGUCGCAGGCGCGGGGAACCGAGGGACAGCGCGGCCACAGUAGCUUAACCCCAUCCGUGAUGAGAUCUUUUCCCGGUGAACUUGAUCCACAGCCCAGAUGCACGAAUCACGGCGACGGCGCAAAUCACGAUGCGAAGGUCACCGGCGGCGAGGGGGGAUGAAUCCAGGAUCUGAUUCAGCUAAUGUACCAUGGGAUGUUUCUGCAGACAGCUUGACAGCCCAAGUUUGGCAUCGAUUUUCUCCUGAUUUUUCAUGGCAACAUGUUGAUCAACCAAUAGCAAAGUUGUUGUCUAAUAAUCCAUCUACAACCUUGCUAUAACAACCAUAGCCAAACUCUCACCAGAUCCGGGUUGAAUUCGAUUCCAAAGAUUACUCAAUCACACUGUCAGUCUGAGUUCAGACUUAAGACAGCCUGACAGAUCAACUUUGAGUCCAAUUUUCUCAAAACUAUUCAUAGUACCAAGACUUGCUCUCUAUAGCAAAAUUGUUCCCCUUUUGUAGCUCUACAAACUUGAUGUGGUGAUCUAGGGCAAAAAGUUUAUAACUUGGAAGAUAUAGGGUCCCAAAGUUGAGCCAAUCCCACUGAAAUUAAGACUUAGCCAAUAGAGUUCAAAUAGGAAUUUUUGCAAAUAAGUCCAAAUCUCAAGGUUUAACUUGCAAAUCCACAUACUUGUGAACCAUAUGACUUAAGGUGCCUUAAUUUCAUGGUUUUUGCACUUCAGUCCAAAAGUGCACUAGUUUUGCACUUAGCCCCUAGGGUUUAAGUCUAGGGCUUUCUAGGGUUUUUUAGGGUUUUUAACACUUCUAGGGUUUGGAUGUUACUUAGGUCCAUUCCUAGUGACAUUUUAUGACUAUUUCAAUUGAGUUUUAAAGUUUUCCCUUAUUAAACCUUGCUUACUCUAUUAAGCCCAAUCUAGGGUUAAGUAUCCUACUCUAGGGUUUUACCCAUAAAAUGUCCUAGCAAUACAACUUGUUUGAAAUUUUUGCCUAGUGAAUGCACUCUAGGUGUGACAAACACAUGAUAUGCCAAUGCUUAUGAUGUUAUGCUCAAAUUUUAUUAAUAGUAACACCUGGGGUGUUACAACGGACAUGUAGAUGUGCCCGAGUGGGUACUCCCCUUCAGUCGGCACGAUGCCGAAGAAAGGAGUAUCUGACUCGGUGAGGUCUUUGAGUGUGACCUCCAGGGCCUAGAGCGUCCGGGGGAAGGUGAUGUUGAUGCUGCUUCCCCCAUCCACUAGUACUUUCUUCACCCGACUCUCUCGGAUCACUGGAUCAACGAGGAGCGGGUAUUUGCCGGGAUCAUCAAAGUUGAGACAUUGAUCACCUCGGCUGAAGGUUAUCGCGUGCUUCGACCAUAGGUAAGGAGCCGAGGUACUGGUGGUAGCCACCAGGACCUGCCGGUCGUUGAGCUUUUGCUGCCUCCUGUUCUCUUGUGCUCCAUGGCCUCCGAAGAUAACGUUGACCUCCCUGUCAACGCGUGGAAAAGCUCCACCCCUCCCCCUUCCUGUUGCCGAGGCUGCCUGGGCUCCCAAGGCUCUCCUCGUGGUGGGGGAGGCGGUAGAGGCUGGAAUGGUCAGCCAUGCCCGAAGGAAUGCUUGAAGUCCCUGCAAUUCCGUAGGGUGUGGCGCAUGUCCUUGUGCUACGGGCACUGGGCAUCGAGGAUUUCAUCCAGUGUCCGUACCCCUCCGUAGGGUGUGCCGCGGGCUCGAGCGAUGGGUGGCCCGGCGAUGUGCACCUCCUCGCGGGGCCUCUUCUCCCAGCGCCUAUCAGGCUGCUGGUUCGCGUCACGUCAUGGCGCGGGUUUCAUGUCUUCGAUGAGGUCCUGGGCCCGUUCAUCCGCGGUGAUAUAGAGGUCCGCCUCCUGGAACAAUUGUUCGGAGGUGGGGGUGCUUUCUAGAGUAUGGCUCGGACGAAGGCCAAGUCAUUGGAUCCCUGGUAGAAGUCUUCAAUCACCGCCGCCUCGGUGACUUCGGGGAUGCAGUUCCUCAUGGUCUGAAACCUCUUGAGGUACGACCGGAGCGUCUCCUCGCUCUGGCGCCGGAUGGAUUUUAGGUCUCAUGGCUAUGUCGGCUUGUCGGAUAGGGACUGGAAGUUGGCGAUGAAGCGCCGACUGAAGUCCUUCCAAUCAUCGAUGCAGUGUCGGGGUAGAUGUUGGAGCCACUGUAGUGCAUCUUGCCCCAGGACAAUGGGCAAGUAUGCUGUCAUCACGUCCUCCGUCGCCCCGGUGGCCUGAGCGGCAGUCGUGUAGACGGCUAACCAACCGCCUGGGUCCUACUUGGGCUCAUACUUGCCGACGUUGGAGACCUUGAAGUUGGGGGGCCACUGGAUGGCCCAGAGAUGCGGAGUAAGCACGAAAACACCGCACUUGUCUUCCUAUCGGUGUUUGUGCUGUCGGUCCCGACGAGGGGAGUCAGUAGUAUGUCAUCUCGACCAUCCUCGGAACGUCCCACUAGUUGAGGCUAUAGCCGACUCAGCACGGGUGGUGCGACUUCGUGCCGGGAUGCCGUGAUCAUGGUCAUAUUCCUCCCAGCGCCUUAUCUCAUUUUUGUGUCGUCGGUCGCGUGAAGCAUUGAUGGAGCUUCGCGCAUCUCGCCGACUGUUGAUGGAGUGACGCAGGUCGUUCAGAGGAUGAGCGAUGGGUAGAAGGUGAUUAGCUGCCUGAGUAAGCAGCCGCUGGUAGCCUUCCGCGUUUGGAGUUCGCGGGUGGCCAUCAGCUAUCUGAGCCAAUACCCCUCCAACUUCACUCAGCGUGUUCAUUGCACGAGCAAAGUCGGGGUACAGGUUCCGACUGGAGAGAGGGUUCUCUUGGCGCAGCCUUUCACCUUGCUCGGCUUGCUCUCGUUCUCGGUCCUGAGCUUGUCGGCGAUCGCGGCGGCGAGGGUUUCGCCUUUCCUGGCGUACUCGCUCGUCGCGAGUUUCUCCUACUUCUGAGGCUUCAUCUCGGGAUACGGGCUUUGCCAGAUCCUGUUCCCCAGCCUCGUGAUGUCGCCGCAUGUUCCGGUGUCUGUUCCUCCGUCGAUCGUGCUUCACUUGGAGGUGAUGGCCAUUGAGCUGACUCGGAUCAACGACAUACCCCCUACUUGACGCGCCAGUUGUCGGUGUUUAGUGCCCGACCGCACACCCAGGGUUACCCUUGCGGUGCUUUUGGGUAGGACGGUGCUGUUGAUUGUAACUCAAUGGUUCGUGCUGGAUGCACGAAAGAGAGAGAGACAAACAAUUUUCUGUAGGUUCAGGCCACUUGGAGAGGCGUAAUACCCUACUUCCUGGUGUGGGUCUAUAUGUGAUGGGUUACAAACGAUGUCUCCUAGAUGGAGAAAAGCUAAUGAGAUAAGUAGAUGGGGGAUGAAAAUGAUGGGGUACCUCCUGGGCCUUAUAUACAUGACCGUGGGGCACUCCAUACCUACAUCACAAUCACAUGUUUCCUAAAUAAUAGUGAACCGACUGAACUGAUCUCCCGAAAACACCACCAACUCAUCCCUAAUCCUCCAUGCGCGGGAAAGUUGGAUGGUUUCUUUGGAUAGCCCACAAUCUGACGGGAUGCCUGGGCUUGAGUCUGUCGUCUUCUCCGGUCGGCCCAUUACACCAGUAGCUUUUGCCCGGCCCACGAAGGGAUGGCCUUGUGGGGUAAUUGGCUCGAGGCCCCGCACGAGGCCCUUUCACCUUCUAGUAGACUCGGAGGAUAUCUGUUCCCCACAAGGACCCCAUCAUUUUCAUCUCAUUAGCAUAUCUCCAUUCGGGAAACACCACUUGUAAACACACCACGCAUACAAAGCCACCCCAGGAAGUAGGGUAUUAUGCCUCUCAAAGUGUCCCGAACCUAUAGAAAAUCGCCCGACUCUCUCUCUCUCUCUCGUGCUUCUAGCACGAACCAUGGAGCUACGAUCAGCAACACCAUCCUACCCAAAAGCACCACGAGGGUAUCCCCGGGUGUGCGGUCAGACACUAGACACCGACAGCUAGCUCGCCAGGUAGGGGGGUGUCAUUGAUCAAAGUUAGCUCAAUGGUCGUCGUCUUCAAGAACAAGAUCACUCUCAGCCCAGGGCCAUGUUCCACUUAUGAACCAUCUCAUGCAUAACGGACGAAGAAGGGACUCUACACCGUGUAGCAGAUCCACCCGAGAAGAACCAGAUGACAAGGCUACGACAGAGCGCAUCGCGAGACAAUCGGCCCACAAUACCAUUGUAGGGGGCCUACUGCAUAGAAGAGGUGCAGGAGGAGUCCUCAUGAAGUGCAUUCACUCGGCUACUUGGAAGCAACUGUUAGAUGAAAUCCAUGCUAGGCAAUGUGGCGUACAUGCAGCGUCACGGACUCUGGUAGGAAAAGCUUUCAGGUUUGGGUUUUACUGGCCAACAGCGAAGAAUGAUUCAGCUGAGUUAGUCCAGAGGUGCGAGGCAUGCCAAUUCUUAUCAAAGCAGCAGCAUCUACCCAUCAACAGUUGCAGACUAUUCCUGUGACCUAGCUGUUUGCAUGCUAGGGGCUGGACAUGAUUGGGCCCUUCAAGAAAGCUCAAGGGGGAUAUACACACAUACUUGUUGCCAUUGACAAAUUCACAAAGUGGAUAGAAUACAAACCCAUCGCCUCUUUGACCUCAGCAAAGGCAGUGGAGUUCAUUCAGGAAAUAAUGUUCAUGUUUGCAAUACCUAACAGGAUCAUUACAGACCUGGGAUAUAAUUUCACCAGUUCAGAGUUCUUUGACUUCUGCGUGCAGAGGAGCAUCCAGAUCAAGUAUGCAUCAGGGGCACACCCAAGAGCUAAUGGGCAGGUGGAAAGAGCCAACAGGAUUAUACUCGAUGCACUCAGGAAAAAGGUGUUUGACAAAAGCAAGAAGCUCGCAGGAAAAUGGAUCAGGGAACUACCAUAUGUGGUAUGGAGCCUGCGAACCCAGCCGAGCCGAGCUUUACACGGAACACCCCAUUUUUCAUGGUGUAUGGAUCGGAGGCAAUGUUACCAGCAGAUCUGAUCUUUGGAGCACCCAGAUUAACGUUCAAAAGCAUAGCCGAAGCAGAAGCAACUAGGCUGGAGGACAUCGACAUAUUAGAAGAAGAACGACUGAAUGUGGUCAUUCAGUCGACCAGAUACCAGUAGACCCUGAGGCGCUAUCACGACAAAGCAGUACGACAUUGAUCCUUCACAGUGGGAGAUUUGGUCCUCUGUCGAGUGCCGACGGGGAGGGACGGCACAAAUUGUCACCACCAUGAGAAGGACCAUUCAUCGUUGUAGAGGUUACACGGCCAGGAUCCUAUCGACUCACUCAAAUGGAUGGCACCGAAGUGGGGAAUUCAUGGAAUAUUGAGCACCUCAAGAAAUUCUAUCCAUAACAAUGCCUCAAAGCUCUUGAGGACGAGUUGUACUUUGUAAGCAAAAGGUUUCAUUAUCAAUAAAGCUUCCAUGUUGGCAUACAAGUUCUUGAUCAACAACAGACCUAGGACGGGCUCAACUUGAAAUCGGCACGGCACUCUUACAUGACUUAGGGUGAUCACUAUACCCUACUAACGGAGCAAUCGGCUUGAGUCAGAAAUGCCUUAAGUCAGUGCGACAUGCUCACGCUUCCACGACUUAGAGUGAUCACUAUACCCUACUAAUGGAGCAAUCGGCUUAAGUCGGAAACGCCUUAAGUCGGUGCGACAUGCUCACGCUUACACGACUUAGGGUGAUCACUAUACCCUACUAACGGAGCAAUCGGCUUAAGUCAGAAAUGCCUUAAGUCGGUGCGACAUGCUUACGCUUACACGACUUAGGGUGAUCAUUAUACCCUACUAACAGAGCAAUCGACUUAAGUCGGAAACGCCUUAAGCUUGAUCUGACGAAAAACUAACAUGGUCGAGCAAUCGGCUUAAGUCGGAAAUGCCAAACCAUUUCAGCCUUCAGUCUGAGAUACCAUCCCCUCCUUGCUAUGGAGGCGAGUCCUGUCUUGUCUACCUGAGUUUCAACGUCCAUCCUCGAUGGAGAACUCAGCCAGGGCCGUCGAUCCAUGUACGUGUAUGGCGCAUGCCUACCACUGGCUGGUAGGGAGAUGGGUGCACUGUUGUGGCUGCCGGUAGAGCGAGACUGAAAGGGAAAUAAGGUUAACCUUUUCCUAUAAUUAAUUUUGGUGGUUGAUCAUCAACACAAACACAUGGACUAACUAGUUUACCUAGAAUUCAUGUAUUACAAGUGCAUAAGGUUCAACACAAACCAAUAAAAUAUUCAAGUUAGGGACCCAACUUAAAAGGAGCAAAAGGAAUCGAGUGGGCUGAAAAAUGGCACACCGGACUGUCCGGUGUGCCACCGGACAAUGUCCGGUGCACCAAGGUCGUACAGGUGUCAACCAGUCACUCUCGGGAAAACGAAGGCGCGCUCCACUAUAAUUCACCGGACUAUCCGGUGUGCCACCGAACUAUCCGGUGAGCCAGCGGGCAACGGCUAUCCAGCACCAACGGUCGACUCUGCAAAGUGCUACAGUGAGCUACAGUGUCGCGACAGAAGUCAGAGGGCAUCGGACUGUCCGGUGCCACAAGAGGACAAAGCUCCAACGGUCGACUUUGCUCCGAACCCUAACGGUUGGGUGACGUGGCGGGGCACCGGACAGUGCAUAGUGCCUGUCCGGUGGCGCACCGGACUGUCUGGUGCGCCCAUCGCCAGCAGCCUCCCCAAUGGCUACCCAAGUGGUUGGGGGCUAUAAAUACCCCCCAACCACCACAACAUUGAGCAUCCAAGUUUUCUGAAGAUCACAUUCAAUACAAGAGCUCUAGCAUUCACUCCAAGACAAAAUACAAAAGAUCAAAUCACCUCCAAGCCCCAAAUUCAUUCCAAACACUUAGUGGCUUGUGAGAGAGAGAUUUUUGUGUUCAUUUGAGUUCUUGUCGCUUGGAUUGCCUUUCUUUUUCCCAUUCUUAUUCUCAAGUGCUUUGUAAGCGAGGCAAGGGACACCAAGUGUGUGGUGGUCCUUGCGGGGUCUUAGUGACCCGUGAGAUUAAGGAAGAAGGCUCACUCGGUCUAAGUGACCGUUUGAGAGAGGGAAAGGGUUGAAAUAGACUCGGUCUUUGUGACCUCCUCAACGGGGACUAGGUUCUUUGGAACCGAACCUCGGUAAAACAAAUCACCAUGUUCACUCGCCUUAUUUCUUGGUUGAUUUGUUUUCCCUCUCUUCCCGACUUGAAUUUAAUUCUAACGCUAACCCCCGACCUUAAUGCGUGUUUAAAGUUAUAAAUUUCAGGUUUCGCCUAUUCACCCCCUCUAGGCGACUUUCAAUUGGUAUCAGAGCCUAGUGCUUCAUUAGAGUCUAACAACUCGAAGUGAUGUCGGGAGAUCACACCAAAAGGGAGAUAAUGACCGGCGACAAAUCCGCAAGCUCGGGGAGGACUCUCUCAAGGGGGUCAGGCAACAAACAUAAGGAGGAAUCCUCUUCCUCCAUCAAGUCGCAUCGGAAAGGUGACAAGAAGAAGAAGAUGAAAAAGGUGGUCUAUUACAAGACUGACUCUUCGUCACCCUCCACAUCAAGCUCCAAGUCAUCCGUCGCUUCUAAGCGCCAUGAGCGCAAGAAGUAUAGUAAGAUGUCUCUUCGCUAUCCUUGUAUUUCAAAGCGCGCUCCAUUACUUUAUGUUCCCUUAGGCAAACCACCAUAUUUUGAUGGUGCAUCAUCUAACCUCACUCCACGAAAGUAUUUGGGAUAUUGUUGAGUAUGGAGCGUAGGUACCUCAAGUCGGGGACAAAGACUAUGACUCGGACGAGGCCGCACAAAUACAACACUUUAACUCCCAAGCAACUUCUAUACUCCUCGCCUCUCUAUGUUGAGAGGAGUAUAACAAGGUGCAAGGGUUAAAAAGCGCCAAAGAAAUUUGGGACGUCCUCAAGACUGCGCAUGAAGGGGACGAGGUGACCAAGAUCACCAAGCGGGAGACGAUCGAGGGGAGCUCGGUCGAUUCGUCCUCAACAAAGGAGAAGAGCUGCAAGCCAUGUACAACCGGCUCAAAACCAUGGUGAACCAAGUGCGCAACCUCGGGAGCACCAAGUGGGAUGGACCAUGAAAUGGUCAAGGUUAUUCUUAGAUCACUUGUUUUUCGUAAUCCCACUCAAGUGCAACUAAUCCGUGGAGAUCCUAGAUAUAAACAGAUAUCUCCUAAGGAAGUGAUUGGCAAGUUUGUGAGCUUUGAGCUAAUGAUCAAAGACUCCAAACACAUUGUCAACUUGGAGCAAGGCGCCACCUCCACACCCAAGGUGCAACCCAUCGCAUUCAAAGCAACGGAAGAGAAGAAGGAGGAGUCUACAUCGAGUAGGCUUCUAAUCGACGCCUCCAAGCUUAACAACGAGGAAAUGGCGCUCAUCAUCAAGAGCUUCCGCCAAAUCCUCAAGCAAAGGAGAGGGAAGGACUACAAGUCCCGCUCUAAGAAGGUGUGCUACUGGUGUGGUAAGUCCGAUCAUUUUAUAGCAAAAUGCCCAAUUUCUAGUGGAAGUGACAGGGACGACGACAAGAAAGGGAAAAAGAAGGAGAAAAGAUACUACAAGAAGAAGGGCGGCGAUGCCCACAUAUGUCGGGAAUGGGACUCCAACGAGAGCUUCACCGACUCCUCCUCCGACGAGGACGCCGCCAACAUCGCCAUCAACAAGGGCCUUCUCUUCCCCAACGUCGGCCACAAGUGCCUCAUGGCUAAGGACGGCAAGAAAAAGAAGGUACACACUAGAGCCAUCCCCAAAUAUACAACAUCUAGUGAUGAGGGUAGCUCUAGCGAUAGUGAAGAUAAUUUAAUGUCUCUUUUUGCCAACCUUAGCCUGGACCAAAAGAAAAAAAAAUAAAUGAAUUAAUUGAAGCCAUUAAUGAGAAGGAUGAACUCUUGGAUAGCCAAGAGGACUUACUCAUUAAAGAAAACAAAAAAUUUGUUAAACUAAAAAAUGUUUAUGCUCAAGAAGUAGAAAAAUGCAAAAACUUAACUAAUGAGCUUAGCAUGUGUCAUGAUUCAAUUUCUAGUCUUAGAACUAAGAAUGCUAAUUUAAUUUCUAAGAUUGAAAAGUUGAAUGUUUGCAAUGAUUCUAUUUCCUGUCUUAGAGAUGAGAAUGCUAGAUUAAAAUCUAAGAUAGAAGAAUUAAAUACUUGCAAACCUUCUACAUCUACUGUUAAGCAUGUUUCUAUUUGUACUAGAUGUAGAGAUAUUAAUGUAGAAGCUAUGGAUGAUCACCUUACCAUGAUUAAACAACAAAAUGAUCACAUAGCUAAAUUAACUGCUAAAAUUGCCGAGCAUGAGCUCGAAAAUGAAAAUUUUAAAUUUGCUGGUAGUAUGCUCUAUAAUGGGAGACACCCUGGCAUUAAGGGUGACAUUGGUUUCCAACAGGGGAGCAAUGUCAAGCUUAAUGCCCGAAAAAAUUAUCUAACUUUGUAAAGGGCAAGGCUCCCAUGGUUCAAGAUACUGAAGGCUAUAUUUUAUACCCUGCGAACUAUCCCGAACACAAAAUUAGGAAGAUUCAUGCUAGGAAACCUCAUAAUGUUUUUCACCAUGCAUUCAUAUAUAAAAAUGAGGCUUCUAGCUCUAGGCAUACCACACAUGUUAAAAUGCCUAGAAAGAAAAUUCCUGCUGCAUCAAAUGAGCAUAAUGUUUCAUUUAGGACUUUUGAUGCAUCUUAUGUUUUAACUAACAAAUCAGGCAAAUUAGUUGCCAAAUAUGUUGGGGGCAAACACAAGAGUUCAAAGACUUGUGUUUGGGUACCCAAGGUGCUUCUUUCUAGCGUCAAAGGACCCAAGACUGUGUGGGUACCUAAGAACAAGACCUAAAAUUGUUUUGUAGGUUUAUGCAUCCGGUGGUUCAAGUUGGAUAAUCGAUAGCGGGUGCACAAACCACAUGACAGGGGAGAAAAGAAUGUUCUCCUCCUCUGAGAAAAAUGAAGAUCCCCAACGAGCUAUCACAUUCGGGGAUGGAAAUCAAUGUUUGGUCAAAGGUUUGGGUAAAAUAGCUAUAUCUCAUGACCAUUCCAUUUCCAAUGUUUUUCUUGUAGAUUCUUUAGAUUAUAAUUUGCUUUCUGUUUCUCAAUUAUGCAAAAUGGGCUACAACUGUCUAUUUACAUAUAUAGGUGUUAUUGUCUUUAGAAGAAGUGAUGAUUCAAUAGCAUUUAAAGGAGUGUUAGAGGGUCAGCUAUAUUUAGUUGAUUUUAAUGAUAACCAAGCUGAACUUGACACUUGCUUAAUUGCUAAGACUAACAUGUGUUGGCCCUAGCAUCGUCGACUUGCCCAUGUUGGGAUGAAGAAUCUCCACAAACUUCUAAAGGGAGAGCACAUUUUAGGACUAACCAAUGUUCAUUUUGAGGAAGACAGGGUUUGUAGCGCAUGCCAAGCAGGGAAGCAAGUUGGAGUCCACCAUCCACACAAGAACAUAACGACGAUGGACAGGCCGCUCGAGCUACUCCACAUGGACUUAUUCGGCCCGAUCGCUUACAUAAGCAUCGGCGGGAGUAAGUACUGUCUAGUUAUUGUGGAUGAUUAUUCUCGCUUCACUUGGGUAUUCUUACCCAAGAGAUCUUAAAAGGAUUCUUGAGAUGGGCUCAAAAUGAGUUCUGUUUAAGGAUAAAAAAGAUAAGAAGGGACAAUGGGACGGAGUUCGAGAAUUCACAAAUUGAAGGGUUUCUUGAGGAAGAGGGCAUCAAGCAUGAGUUCUCUUCUCCCUACACACCUCAACAAAAUGGUGUAGUGGAAAGGAAGAAUCGAACUCUAUUGGACAUGGCAAGAACCAUGCUUGAUGAGUACAAGACUCCGAACCCGUUUUGGGCCGAGGCGAUUAACACCGCUUGCUACUCCAUCAACCGGUUAUAUCUUCACCGAAUCCUCAAGAAGACAUCAUAUGAACUCCUCACUGGUAAAAAGCCCAAUGUUUCAUAUUUUAGAGUCUUUGGGAGUAAAUGCUUUAUUCUUAUUAAAAGAGGUAGAAAAUCUAAAUUUGCUCCUAAGGUUGUAGAAGGCUUUUUACUUGGUUAUGACUCAAACACAAGGGCAUAUAGAGUCUUCAACAAAUCCAUUGUAUUAGUUGAAGUUUCUUGUGACAUUGUGUUUGAUGAGACUAAUGGCUCUCAAGUGGAGCAAGUUGAUCUUGAUGAAUUAGAUGAUGAAGAGGCUCCAUGCAUCGCACUAAGGAACAUGUCCAUUGGGGAUGUAUGUCCUAAGGAAUCCGAAGAGCCUCCACAAACACAAGAUCAACCAUCAUCUUCCAUGCAAGCAUCUCCACCAACUCAAGAUGAGAAACAUGCUCAAGAUAAUGACGAAGAAAAUCAAGAAGUUGAGCCACCUCAAGAGGAGAAUAUGGAUCACGGGGAGAUGAAGAUGAUCAAGACAAGGAAGAUGAUCAAGAAAUUCAGGGUCAAAGACCGCCACACCCAAGAGUCCACCAAGCAAUUCAACGAGAUCACCCCGUCAACUCCAUCCUUUGUGACAUUCAUAAGGGGGUAACCACUAAAUCUCGAGUUGCUCAUUUCUGUGAACAUUACUCUUUUGUGUCUUCUAUUGAGCCAUACAGGAUAGAGGAUGCACGAAGAGAUCAGAUUGGGUGAUGGUGAUAGGAACGGGGGUGCCCGAUCUUCCGUCAGGUGAAGAUAACUAUCGAUUUGGUGGAGAUGUCACACAGACGAUCCGACUUCCAAUCAACACGACUAGAACCCCACAAUCGCAGCACCACUUCUCCUCUAGUUAUCAACCGUGCACUGCGCGAUUAACCUUGCCACGAGGGCUAAUUCCUGCCUGAGAAUCAAAGACACAAGCAAGAACAAGAAAGAACACAAUCUAGAAUAUUGCAGAUGAAUGAUUAAACUCACAAGUUGGGGUCUCACAAACCGAUCUACGGCGGCUGUUCUCGACAGAUCUAAACUUAAGCAAACCCCCCCACUAAUGUGGCAGUUGCUGCUAAAUAAAUAGAGUAUUAGGGCGUGCGUGACCCCUGGACUCGCCCCUAAUGGGCUCCGACGCGAUACACGACACAACGGCCCAACAGACGGUGUCGCAGCACCAAAACAGAAUCUGAACGCUGACUUGUUUCAACGAUUCCCAUUGACUCCGGAUGAAUUUUAGGGUCGAACCAGUUGUGUUGGUUAGAUAAUCUCCUUAUCUUUCCAACCAUAUCAAGUCUGUCGCAAUCGGAAUCCGGAUGCAUCUUGGGCAUCCAUUUUAGUGCAGACUGGUCCUGGAACCCGAGAUGGACUUGCAGCCGAGUCGGACUUGAUCUCCUUCCUGUUGUGGGCGCCCUUGCUGCUCCUCCUCAACACCUAGGCCUUUCCCAAGUUCUUGCUGGUCCUCGCCAAGGUUCCUAAUCAUCAAAACAUCCAUGGUCCCAAGCGUAAGCUCUAAAACACAAUUGACUAGGGCAGAACGUACCUGGAGAAUUAGCUGUCGUGCACGCGAUCGUGUUAUCGGUCCAUUCAUUGUAUGUAUAGAAGUGAUGUCCUCAUCAUCCUCCCCCUCUUGAAGUGGAGUCUUCCUUGACUCAAGCUCAUCUUUCUUCCCCCAAAUACGGUUUCAAAUAUGCAAUGUUAAAUGUAGGACUAACCCGGAACUCGGGAGGCAACUCAAGUUUAUAUGCAUUAUCAUUUAUUUUCUCCAAAAUCUUAUAUGGACCAGCAGCACGUGGCAUCAAUUUAGACUUUCUUAACUCUGGAAAUCUAUCUUUUCUCAAGUGCAACCACACUAAAUCACCCACUUCAAGCUUAACUUGUUUUCUACCUUGACUACCAGCAAUUCUAUAUUUUUCAGUCAUCUUUCCAAUGUUUGCUUUAGUUGAAGCAUGAAGUUUCAAAAUAAAGUCAGCAUGCUCCUUAGCAUCACUAUGUACUUGCUCGGUAGUAGGUAGAGGCAAAAGAUCAAUAGGAGCACGAGGGUUAAAACCAUACACUACCUAAAAAGGACUUACCUUGGUGGUGGAGUGUUCCGCCCGAUUAUAUGCAAACUCCACAUGCGGCAAACAAUCUUCCCACAUUUUCAAGUUUUUCUUCAAUAUUGCUCGCAGCAUUGCAGACAAUGUUCUAUUCACAACUUCUGUUUGUCCAUCAGUUUGGGGAUGACAAGUAGUAGAAAACAACAAUUUUGUCCCCAAUUUGUUCCAUAUAGUACGCCAAAAAUGACUCAAGAAUUUUACAUCACGAUCUGAAACAAUAGUAGAAGGCAUACCAUGCAAACAAACAAUCUCUUUGAAAAAGAGGUUAGCAAUAUGAAUGGCAUCAUCCGUUUUGUGACAAGGUAUAAAAUGUGCCAUCUUAGAAAAACGAUCAACAACAACAAAAACACUAUCGCUCCCCCUUUUCGUCCUAGGCAAUCCCAAAACAAAAUCCAUAGAAAUAUCCGCCCACGGAACUGAAGGAAUAGGAAGAGGCAUAUACAAACCAUGUGGGUUCAAUCGGGACUUAGCUUUUUGACACGUCGUGCAUUUUGCUACAAAGCGCUCAACAUCACGUCGCAUUCGAGGCCAAAAGAAGUGUGUGUACAGCACAGCCUCCAUCUUCUUGGCACCGAAGUGACCCAUCAAACCACCACCAUGCGCUUCCUGCAACAACAAAAGACGAACCGAACCAACUAGAAUGCAUAGGCGGUUAGCUCUAAACAAGUAUCCAUCAUUUAGCACAAAUUUAUUCCAUGUAUGGCCCUCUUUACAAUUUAAUGCAACCUCUUUAAAAUCAUCAUCAAAAGCAUAUUGUCCCUUAAUUGUUUCAAGUCCAAAAAUACGACAAUCAAGUUGAGACAACAUAGCAUAGCGUCUAGACAAAGCAUCGGCAAUCACAUUAUCAUUCCCCUUUUUAUAUUUAAUGAUGUAAGGAAAAGUUUCAAGAAAUUCUACCCACUUAGCAUGUCUACGGUUCAGAUUUGUUUGACUACGAAGAUGCUUAACUGACUCAUGAAUAACAAAUUCCUUAAACCACAAAUAAUGUUUCCAUGUUUGCAAAGAUCGUAUGAGAGCAUAUAAUUCUUUAUCAUGAGUAGAAUAAUUAAGAACAGGACCAUUCAUUUUUUCACUAAAAUAUGCAACGGGUUUACCUCCUUGCAUCAAAACAGCACCAAUGUCAACUCCACUUGCAUCACAUUCAAGUUCAAAACUCUUACCAAAGUCAGGAAGUUGGAGUAGUGGCGCGUGAGUAAGCUUCUCUUUUAAAAGAGCAAAAGAAUCCUCUUGUGACUACCCCCAAUUAAAUGAAACACCCUUCUUGGUCCACUCAUGUAAUGGGGCAGCGAUGGUGCUGAAAUCCUUCACGAAACAACGAUAAAAUCCUGCAAUUCCAAGAAAACUCUGUACUUGUGUCACCGUCGAUGGCGUUGCCCAACUCUGAAUAGCAUGCACCUUGGCCUCAUCAACCUCAAUACCCUGUGUAGUGACAACAUAGCCAAGAAACGAUACGCGUUCGGUGCAAAAGGUGCAUUUAUCAAGGUUAGCAAAUAAGCGUGCGGUGCGCAAAGCAUCAAAAACAGCACGUAGAUGGUCAAGAUGUUCAGAUAAACAAGUGUUGUAGAUCAAGAUAUCAUCAAAAUAAACCACCACAAAUUUUCCAAUAAAUGGGCGCAAAACCUCGUUCAUCAAACGCAUAAAAGUACUAGGGGCAUUAGUUAAUCCAAAAGGCAUCACUAACCACUCAUACAAGCCGAACUUGGUUUUAAAAGCAGUUUUCCAUUCAUCGCCUAAUUUCAUUCUAAUUUGGUGGUAUCCACUGCGCAAAUCAAUCUUAGAAAAUAUUUUAGAACCACUUAACUCAUCAAGCAUAUCAUCUAAUCGAGGAAUAGGAUGAUAGUACCGGAUAGUGAUGUUGUUAAUGGCUCUACAAUCUACACACAUGCGCCAACUACCAUCUUUCUUUGGAACCAAAAUGACAGGAACAGAACAAGGACUAAGGCUCUCACGUACAUACCCGCGGUCCAAAAGGUCUUGGACUUGGCGCUGAAUCUCCUUAGUCUCCUCAGGAUUUGCUCGAUAUGCAGCACGGUUGGGCAAGCUCACUCCAGGAAUCAAAUCAAUCUGGUGCUCAAUCCCACGAAUGGGAGGAAGUCCUGGAGGUAACUCAGAGGGAAAAACAUCUCGGAACUGCUGCAAAAGGUUAGUCACAGAUGCAGGGAAAGUGCUAGCAAUAUCAUCAAUAGAAAAGAAAGCAUCUUUGCAAACCAAGGCAUAGCAACAAGCAUCAGUAGCAUGAGUUUCAAGAAGAUCAGAUUUAGUAGCAAGCAUGACAGGAGCUUUCAAUUUAAUUUGUUGUUGAAUUUCUGUCUCAUUAGUUGGUUCCUUAUGGGUAUUUGCAGCUCUAUCUUUAUCAGCUUGUACAAUUUCAGCAAGAGUCAAAGGUAGCAAAGUAAUGUUUUUAUCUUUAUGCCUAAAAGUGUAUGUAUUACUCCUACCAUGGUGACGUGCAUCAGUAUCAUAUUCCCAAGGUCUACCCAACAAAAGAGAACAAGCUUCCAUAGGUACUACAUCGCAAUCCGCAUAAUCAGAAUACAUACCAAUGGAGAAAUGCACUCGUACCAUGUGUGUUACUUUAACCUUGCCUGAAUCAUUGAUCCACUAAAUGUGGUAUGGAUGUGGUCGUGGACGUGUGGUCAAGCCAAGCUUCUUGACCAAAUCUGAACUCACCAAAUUAUUGCAGCUUCCACCAUCAAUAAUAACACGUGCACGCCGAUUCUCGAUGGCGAAGAAAGUCUGGAACAAAUUAUGGCGUUGCUGCUUCUCUGAUGAUUCAGGCUGAGCACUAAGAACACGCUGCACCAUGAUGCUUCGAAGGUUCAUCGUAGCAUCAGCACCAAGCAUAACAUCAUCAUUAGCAGCAACAUCACUGGAGUCAUCAUCGUCAUCCUCACCGUCGGAAGCACUAAUGUAGCCAUCAUCCGUAGCAAUGUAUGUUCGCUGACUCGAGCAAUCCUUCUUCACGUGACCAAUCCCAUGACAGCGGUGGCAAACAAUACCCGAAGAACGACCACUGGAAGGUGCUGCGGGUGCUGGUGAAUUCUGUUUCUUGGCGGGUACCUGCAAAGGAAGUUUACCAACAUGUGCAGAAGGUGUCGAAGGAGGUCGCGUGGCGCUGUAGUGGUCGAAGGUGUAUGACUCGAGGCAGGUGUGUGCGUCCGUGAUGUAGAGGAGGCGCCAAAAGUAGUCCUAGGUCGAUGUUGGCGUCCCUGCAAUUCUUUCUCUGCAAGCAUAGUAAAGUGGAACAACUUGUUGACAGUGUUAAAAUCUUUGUAAUCCACAAUGUCCUGAAUGUUAUGCCGCAAACCUGAAUAAAAAUGGCAAAGAGCGUCCUCAUGUCCCUCUACUAUCCCACAACGCUGCAAUCCCUUCUGAAGCUCAACAUAAUAAUCUUGAACAGAUUUAUCCCCUUGCUCUAAAUGCAUCAAUUUCUUACGCAAUUCUCUAUGAUAAGAUGGGGGAACAAAUCUAUCACGCAUAGCUACCUUAAGAUCUUCCUAAGUCGUAGGUGCUCUACCAUCCCCAACUAGACCAGUCCACCAAACAAUAGCAAAAUCUUUAAAUUCACUAGUGGCUUGUCUAACUUGAUGUCGUUCAGGUACAAGGUGGGUUCCAAAUUUCUGUUCUAUCGUCAUCUCUCAAUCAAGAUAUCCCUCAGCAUCAUAAUGACCCGAAAAAGAUGGUAUAGAAAAUUUAAUCUUAGCAUAAGGGUCGUCAGGAGCACGAUUGUUAUUACCUUGCUGGUGGUGUUGGUGUGGCAUACCUUCUGUGUUUUGAUGAAGACGGCGACGUAGGCGCAAAUCUCUGGUGGCCGCUUCAUCAUAAUUACCUUCUUCAUCAAACACGGCAUCAUCGGGAAGACGUGGACGAGGAGGUGGUGGUGGCAGCGGUGCUUGUUGUUGCGUAUCCAACACAGCAAGUCUGUCGACGAUCUGGGACAAUCGUCGAUCCAGCCUCUCGUAAGUCUUGCCAAGGUUCAUGUCAAUGAAGGCAUCAUGCACUGACUUGUGGACCGUCUCCUCCAUUUGCUCCUUCAGGAGCUUGUUGUUUGCCUCAAGAUCUUGGCGGCUAACACAUUCAUUGAAAUCUGUAGGGAUCCUUGCUUCCUCCUCGUCGCCUGCCAUCGAAACAAACGGUGACGGUUAUCCCUAAUAAUCUCACUACACGCUCCUCUCAGGUGGAACACAGGAACACACUCUAAUGUAUCUUACCAAGCUCUUACAAGUGUCUGACGAAAUACAAGCAAAGGAUGGUACAAUCGGAGGCUGGUUCGUGAUACUUACCAAGAGGUAGUGACACCGCGAUUGCAAGGUCACAGCUGUAUUGAUCAGAAGAAAGUAUGUGGAGCUCGGGAGGCCAAAAACUAAUAUCAAGGAUUAGCAAAAAUCGAGUGCAGAUUAGCGAAGUUCAAUAAGUGUCCAAAUCACAAGUCACAAUUGAUGGCUAAGACAUGUCCUAUCGAAGCACAACAAGAUAAAAGUAACAAACUAGCAGAAUGGCAAUUCUGUAAAUAGCGCAGAUUUUUCAGCACUAGUAGAAAUCAAAGGCGUGUUUCCAAAGGAGUACCAGCAAACGAGCUCGAAAUAUUCUGAAUUUUUUAUCACUGAUCCAAAAUCACAAUUGAUGGAAGCACACAAAAUUUCACUUGAAACAGAGUUGUAUUGUGGCCUAGAGAAAAUCACAAAGGAUCUCUAAAAUUCCUGAAAACACUUAAACAAUUUUUUUAAUUAUCUUCCUGAUUUUUUUUGAAUUUUUUGACCGAACCAAACAGGCCGUAGGAUAAUUUGGGUCACCCCAGAAUGGAAUCAGAAAUCUACUGUAAAAAUUUGAGCUCAAACGGAGCACCGAGCGAAAAGUUAUGCCUGUUUUAUGGAAGGUACCUCAAGUUAUGGUUUUCAAGGGCACAAAUUGGUAGGAACCGUAGCGGCGGUUAUAGAGCACAGGGCACAAACCUCCCUGGUAUAAGCAAUAGGUAAGCGCCAAAUGAUGAAACAAGGAGGGGCUGCAAUGCAAUGCGGCUUGCAAAAUAAUCUAGGGCUAGCGUGGCGAUAAUUCACACAAGGCGGCUAGCGAGGGCAAAUCGAGUAAUGUGGUGUCUCGACUUGUAAUCUGGGUAAGGUGGAUGGGCUAGCGGCGGAAACAAAUAAAAGCGAUAGAGCGAUUGAACUACGAUUACGAAACGACCUAAACCAGCAACAAGACUCGAACACGGACACAAAUUCAACAAAGCAAUCUGAAACGAAAUUGUAAGGCUAAAUAGGGUUAUAGGACAGCGAAAUUUUUUUAUGGCAAUUAUCUGGAGUUAUAGGAUGAAAAACCUAAACUACACUAGGGUAAGCCUGACGGUAAUACCUGAGUCUUUGAAUACCACUUGAUAUGAACGGGGGUGCCCGAUCUUCCGUCAGGUGAAGAUAACUAUCGAUUUGGUGGAGAUGUCACACAGACGAUCCGACUUCCAAUCAACACGACUAGAACCCCGCAAUCGCAGCACCACUUCUCCUCUGGUUAUCAACCAUGCACUGCACGAUUGACCUUGCCACGAGGGCUAAUUCCUGCCUGAGAAUCGAAGACACAAGCAAGAACAAGAAAAAACACAAUCUAGAAUAUUGCGAGUGAAUGAUUAAACUCACAAGUUGGGGUCUCACCAACCGAUCUACGACGGCUGUUCUCGACAGAUCUAAACUUAAGCAAAACCCCCCUAAUGUGGCGGUUGCUGCUAAAUAAAUAGAGUAUUAGGGCGUGCGUGACCCCUGGACUCGCCCCUAAUGGGCUCCGACGCGAUACACGGACCAACGGCCCAACAGAUGGUGUCGCAGCACCAAAACAGAAUCUGAACGCUGACUUGUUUCGACGAUUCCCGUUGACUCCGGACGAAUUUUAGGGUGGAACCAGUUGGGUUGGUUAGAUAAUCUCCUUAUUUUUCCAGCCAUAUCAAGUCCGUCGCACUCGGAGUCAGGAUGCAUCUUGGGCAUUCAUUUUAGUGCAGACUGGUCCUGGAACCCGAGAUGGAAUCGCAGCCGAGUCAGACUUGAUCUCCUUCCUGUUGUGGGCACCCUUGCUGCUCCUCCUCAACACCUAGGCCUUUCCCAAGUCCUUGUUGGUCCUUGCCAAAGUUCCUGAUCAUCAAUACAUCUAUGGCCCCAAGCGUAAGCUCUGAAACACAAUUGACUACGACAGAACGUACCUGGAGAAUUAGCUGUCGUGCACGCGAUCAUGUUAUCGGUCCAUUCAUUGUAUGUGUAGAAGUGAUGUCCUCAUCAGAUGGCAAUGCAAGAGGAGCUCAACAACUUCACGAGGAAUGAGGUAUGACAUUUGGUUCCACGUCCUAAUUAAAAUGUUGUAGGUACCAAGUGGGUAUUCCGCAACAAGCAAGAUGAGCAUGGUGUGGUGACAAGAAACAAAGCCCGACUUGUGGCCAAAGGUUAUUCACAAGUCCAAGGUUUGGACUUUGAUAAAACUUAUGCACCCAUAGCUAGUCUUGAGUCAAUUCGUAUAUUACUUGCCUAUGCUACUUACCAUGGCUUCAAGCUUUAUCAAAUGGACGUGAAGAGUGCUUUCCUCAAUGGACCCAUCAAGGAAGAGGUCUAUGUUGAGCAACCUCCCGGCUUUGAAGAUGGUGAGUACCCUAACCAUAUGUAUAAGCUCUCAAAGGCGCUUUAUGGGCUCAAGCAAGCCCCAAGAGCAUGGUAUGAAUGCCUGCGAGACUUCCUUAUCACUAAUGGCUUCAAAGUCGGUAAAGCCAAUCCUACUCUCUUUACUAAAAUUGUUGCAAAAGACUUGUUUGUAUGCCAAGUUUAUGUUGAUGAUAUUAUAUUUGGGUCUACUAACAAGUCAACUUGUGAAGAGUUUAGUAGGAUCAUGAUACAGAAAUUUGAGAUAUCUAUGAUGGGGGAGUUGAAGUAUUUCCUUGGAUUUCAAAUCAAGAAACUCCAAGAUGGCACCUUCAUCAGCCAAACAAAGUAUAUUCAAGACAUACUUAAGAAGUUUGGAAUGAAGGAUGGAAAACCCAUCAAGACACCCAUGGGAACCAAUGGGCAUCUCGACCUCGACAUGGGAGGUAAAUCCGUAGAUCAAAAGGUAUAUCGGUCGAUGAUAGGAUCUUUACUCUACUUAUGUGCUUCUCGACCGGAUAUUAUGCUUUCUGUAUGCAUGUGUGCAAGGUUCUAGGCAGAUCCUAAGGAAGUUCACCUUAGGGCUGUUGUCGGUACCCUGGAUUAGGGGUACCCCUUACUACGGUAUGAAGGCACGAUGCCUGCGCGGCUACCCUUAGCCGUGCGGGGAACAGCCCCAGGGGUAUCUCGUGAGCAGUUAAGGUGGCAUUCUUGGAGACAACGUCAUCGGGCCCAGAAGGCGUAGGACCCCUAUGCGCACAACCCGGACCCCCGAAGUAAAGCAGCCCGGAGCCAUUGGAUAGGGUUCGGACCCCAUCAAGUGAGCUCCGGACCACCCGUAACAAGGUCCCGGGAGAGGAAGUGUCGCAACCUAGGCAUGGGUCUGGUAUUGACGUGUGUCCAGGCUCUAUCUGGAGCGCCUCCGCUCCCCACUCGGUUGAGGGUCUAAUGCUACCACAUGGCUUAUUGUCCGUGAUGUAGGCCAGCGGGCGGAGCAUGAUGUAAGGGCUCUAGGCCACGCAUUUAUUGCGGAAAGGACAUGCCACCUGUCCACCUCUCUGAAAGGCGAUGUGCCCCCACGACAUUUAUUGUGUCCUGUCCAUUCCGCUGGCAUGCGGCACCAGGGCCACUCUGCAGACGGCACACCUGUCCAGUCUGUUGCCGAAACAGUGUGCCCGUGCUACGUGGUGCACUGUGCUCAUCCCUUGUGCAAGAAGCUUCCCCCAGCACGCCGAGACCACGCAGAUCUCGGGUGUCAGGGCGCAAGAAGAUUGCUCCAGCAGAAUAUAUUAGUAGCUACAUCCGCUAUGUUCUUGGGCCCACAUGUCGGGGCUCAGUACUCUUGUACAUGUCCCCCUUUAGCUAUAAAAGGGGAGGCAUGCGACGUUACAACACAAGCUCAAUCUUGAGGACACAGACCCAAGUCAUCCAAGACAACUCAAGCUCUCAAGCAAUAUAACACACAGUGGAGUAGGGUAUUACGCUCCGGCGGCCCGAACCACUCUAAACUCUUGCGUGUUCCUGUGUUCAUUCCUUCAUCUCGCAACAAGCAAAACGCUUAGGCCCCUUCUCAUCUUAGGAUUUAGGGCGAGUGCACUCCACCACCCGGCCAGAGAUUUCCUCUCUGACAUUUGGCGCGCCAGGUAGGGGGCUAGGCUUUAGGUUUUUGCUUGUUUUCUCGCUCAGCAUGAUGGUGCAAAUCGUUGAGCACCGCGCCGAGACUUCGGUGGAUUUCGUGGUGGAGGAAGAAGCUGCGUCUUCCACACCACAGGUUCCCAACCGCCCUGUCCCGGACACUACUGCUGUGCACGCCGCACGGCAGCAUACAGCUGUACAGACAUCCCGAACUCCAUCAAGGGCGACUCCGGGAGCAUUGUCAACAGCCAGGGAGUUGCUGCGACACCGUCCAAGCUCCACGGCCUCACUGGGGGCCAUGAAGCAAUGGCGCGACGACGUCGACCGACUGCUCGGUAUGACACAUUCUACCUCGACCAGGUCGAGGCCACGGUCAUCCCGGCGCCAACAUGAGGCGUCGGCGUUUGUGCGCUCACCCUCAGUGAGGGGCGCAUAGACCAACAACCUUCGGGCAGAACUCAACCGCAGGCGUGCGGGAGAGGACGCCCGGGUCUCUUUGGAAAGGGCGCGCGAGCGCCGCCAAAACAUCAAGGGUUGCAACCUCGAUCAAGACUUCGCCGCAGUAGCACCGCAAACGUCGGCGGGUGCCCGGAUCCAGGCCGGUGUCCCAUUGACUGGCGUAGGCUGCGCCGCUCUCGCGGAUCAUAUCCACGCGGCAUCUUGGCCAUCUAAGUUCCGACCGCACUUGCCAGAAAAGUACGACGCUACGUCAAACCCGUCAGAAUUUCUGCAAGUAUACGUCACCGCCAUCACGACAGCAGGUGGAAACACUGCCGUGAUGGCGACAUAUUUUCAUCUCACCUUGUCUGGACCAGCCCGGACUUGGCUCAUGAACCUUGCCCCAGGGUCGAUCUACUUCUGGGAAGAUCUCUGCGCGCGGUUUGUUGCAAACUUCGCCAGUGCUUACCAGCAACAUGGCAUGGAGGCCCACCUCCACGCAGUGAGGCAAGAGCCCGGAGAAACUCUCCGGACAUUUAUCUCCCGCUUCACCAAGGUGUGAGGUACUAUACCUCUCAUCUCCGAUGCUUCUAUCAUCACGGCCUUCCGCCAGGGGGUAUGUGAUAAAAAGAUGUUGGAGAAGUUGGCCACGCAUGACGUGGAAACGGUCCCCACUCUCUUUGCUUUGGCCGACAAGUGCGCCAGGGCUGCUGAGGGUCGUGCGUGGCACUCAGCGCCACAGAUCGGGGCUGCCCAAGCAGGCGGCUCAGGUGCCGUCGCUCAGGACGGCAAGAAAAGGAAGAAAAAGAACUGUGGCAACGAGAAGCCGCACUCCGCCGCUCUGGUCGUGGCAGCUGCGACUGGGGGCCGGGGCGACCGCAACAAACGCCCACGACGACCGAGGGGUAACAGCGGCACAUGCCCCGUGCACCCCAGCGGUCGCCAUAGUGCCGCAGAAUGCCACGAGAUCAUCGACCUCGCGAAACGUGUCAGCGCGUGGCGCGAGCAGUCUUCCGGGGAUGGCUCCCCACCUCGUCGCCGACUCGGCAAGGAAAAGGCCGACGACAAAGAGGUGGCCGUGGCCGAACCGGACCUCGGGUAUCAAUCACCCGAGGGGGUCCUGAGGAUGUCUUCACUGGAGACUCCAAUUCCGGUGAAGGCAACUAGACGGACCACCAGGGGGCCCCGUGCUACUUGGCCUGCGGGGCCGAAGUCUGCCUUCCCCCCGGAAACCCUUCUGGACUCCCCACGGGUCCAACCUUUCGAUGGGUUUGUGUAGGGGCCACUACAACGUGAGGACGUGGACUCAAGCGGCGGACUCAGGUGUCAAGUCGCAACCCGAAAUGCACAUCGUAACCAAGCGCCCAAGUACUAUGGUCGACGGUUCGUGCAUAGUAGGGAACCCAGGGUCGGAACCUAAUCCUGCGGCAAAGUACUGAACCAAGAGGGGAUCUGUAACCUCUACCCCAGCAGGGAGGAACCCCUCAAGGCGAUGGAAAUAUGCCAACCCGAGGGAUGCCAACUUUGCUAUAGCUGAAGAAGUACCCCUUCCUAUCCUAGUAAGUUCAUAGAAGCAACUCUGAGGGGAUAGAUUUUUCUCCUUUCAUAAUUAAAUUUUGCAUAUGUGUACACCAGCCCGGUGAGGUCUGCCCACAUAACCUGGCCUGAUGGUUUACACCCAUGCAUAUCAAGUUAUAAAGAGGAAAUUCACCCCCUCGGACGCGUUUCUAUGACAACUUUAUCUUCCUGCUCCAUGGAUUUGGCCUAUAGUUUUCAGAUAAUACCUUUUAUCUAACCCACCCGCACGGUUCCCCAUCUGUCCUAACAUGACGACAUCCGAAUUGAGCUGUCAGGCUUGCAGUUUAGGACCUCCUUUACGAAAGCAGGGAGGUCUGAUAGCCUGGGGGCCGGUUCCAAAGAACGGAAGCUCGUUCCAUGGAAUGGUCCGGAGCAGUGUAGCCGCUUAGCCUGGUCUCGUACCGUAAGCCUGCACAACCCACCAUUUUGUGACGGGUACCUUAGUAUUUGGAACUAUAGCUAUGUGGGUCCGACAACCUAGGGUCCGACUCAGGAAAAUGGGCACUUGUCUCCUAGGGUGGUCCGGAGCCGUGUAGCCGCUUAGCCUGGUCCCGUACCGUAAGCCUACACACUCCACCACCCUGCGAUGGGAGUCCUAGUAUCUAGAGCCGCGACCCAAGGGGGUCCGGACACGCAACUUGGCCACCCGGACUAAACCCUGCGAGUCCCGAGCAUGUAUCAAAGGAUGGCUAAUAUCAGACAGGGGACCCUAUGGGUGUACUACUAACGCUCCCUAGCUGAAGCUGUGUACAGAUCCAGAUCCCGGCCGAGGCUGCCUCUCGAGAGUUGUUGACAACCCUUUUUAGAUACGCUGGUAACCAACCUUGACACAUCAAGCCUGCAUCCCAAGCGGGGGGCCAGGUACCAGGGAGGAGUCAACAACAUCACACAUAGCAGGAACAUGCGGUACACAGAUAAGUGCUAACACUGCUUGAUAAAUAGUACUCAAAAGUACCUUACAAAAAGCAAAAGUAUUACAUUCGCCUUCAAGCGGAAUCCUAGUUCCACCUCUACUCUGCAGGUAUAAACUACUAGACGCCAGCGGAGUCGCGCUGGAAAGCCCGCGACCACUGUCCUUGCGCAAUCCUCUAGAACGGCGUAACAACAGUGAUGGCCGCCUCAAUGUGUGCACCAUUGCGAAGAGGUCCUCGCCCCCGUCCUCCUACGGGGGGCGACAACGAGGCCAUUAAAUCCAAAGAGUUGGAGGCUUGGUGGCAGGUGGCGCUGGUGGUCUCGCCAGCGGAGGCAACCACCUCUGCAACGGGCAGCCUCACCAGCGGCGGCGACCACCUCAGCACCGAUGAUAGCGGCCACCUCUGCACCGGUGGCUUACCAGCGACGGCGGCCGCCUCACCGCAUGCAGAAAGGUCCUCGCCCCCGUCCUCCUACGGGGGUGAGGACAAGACCAUCCAAGAACGCGGUCGCCACCGCCGUGGCGUACAACGUCUUGUACAACCCCCUGGGCGGCGCCAGAGCAGUGCAGCCGGUUGCGCAGGGAACGCCACGGAUGCGGCAGACCUGCGCACGGCGCGACCGUCGCUUGUACGGUGGACGAACAGCCGCGCCCCGUUUGGCGGCGGGAGGCAGCACCAAAGCCAUCUAAGCCAAGGAGCCAGACACGCGGCAGCUGACGGCGCCUGCAGCCGGUCGGCCCCGCGUAGCCGAAGUUCACCUCCUCCGCAAGGCUGGUGAACAUCCUUCUCCUCCAAAUGCUGGAGGAAGAAGCGGGUCACCAGCCCAUGCAGAAGGUAGGACCCCAACUCGGCUCGCCUUCCACCCCAGCGAUGAUGAUGAACAUCCUUGAAGCUGAGGGCAGGGGGGAAGCCGCAGCCCGGCUCGCUUCUCUCCACCAUAAGGCUGGUGGUCAUCCUUGUAGAUGACCACUGGCGGGAGACUGCAGUCGGGCUGCAUGAUGAAAAUCCUUGAAGUCGAGCGAUGGCAGAAGAGCGCCAACCCCCAUGAGGUCGCGCUCCUCCAACAACAGCAAGAAGAAGACA